AUACUUACCUGGUAGGGGCAAUACCAUGAUCAUGAAGGUCGUUUUCCCAGGGUGAGGCUUAUCCAUUGUACUCUGGAGGUACAGACCCCUGUGAUUUCCCCAAAUGUGGGAAACUUGACUGUAUAAUUUGUGGUAAUGGGGGCUGUGUUCGUGCUUUCCCCUG
This is a small nuclear RNA of Saimiri boliviensis boliviensis (Bolivian squirrel monkey), 163 nucleotides long. Its record names the gene U1. It matches the Rfam family "U1 spliceosomal RNA". Rfam says of the family: U1 is a small nuclear RNA (snRNA) component of the spliceosome (involved in pre-mRNA splicing). Its 5' end forms complementary base pairs with the 5' splice junction, thus defining the 5' donor site of an intron. The record is from Ensembl. Lineage: Eukaryota; Metazoa; Chordata; Mammalia; Primates; Cebidae.